Molecule: ribosomal RNA, 1296 nt
Filed under: Triticum aestivum (bread wheat)
Lineage: Eukaryota; Viridiplantae; Streptophyta; Magnoliopsida; Poales; Poaceae
Description: partial small subunit ribosomal RNA
Source: RNAcentral
AUGGUGAAGGAGAAGACGGCGGCCCUGGAGCGGGCAAAAAAAGCGACGGCGAAGGCGAAGGGAAGGGCGACCAGUCGGGGCGGAUCUUUGUCGAGGGCCGGCCUGCCGCAGGGCUGGAUCCAGGGCGACUGGAUCCGCUCGACAAUUCGUCAAGAAGACCUUGACGACCUGACCAAUGGAGGACUGAUCCCCCAUGGAUCGGCGCGGCUCCCGGGGAAGGAGUCUGAGCCGCAGCCUGAGGAGGGUGAGGUCGUACUCUUGGCCACCCAUGUCGACCGUGGGUUUUCUUUGCCGCCUCAUCCUUUCUUUCGGGGAUUUCUGAAUUUCUUUGGGGCGCAACUCCACCACUUCACACCCAACACCAUCGUGUACCUCGCUGCUUUCGUGUCUUUGUGCGAGAAUUUCUUGGGUUGUCGGCCUCAUUGGGGUCUUUUCAAGCAUAUUUUCACCUGUCGCUCCCAGACGGUGAAAAAGGCCAAUCCGAGUGAUGAGAGAACACAAGUGAUUCAGAUGUGUGGGGGUCUUGGGGUUCAGAUGAGGGGUAAAAGUUCUUUUCCGGCCAUGAUCCUUCCCGACUCGGUCCGUGGAUGGCAGUCGAUCUGGUUUUACUGCAAAGACCAGCCGACGCCAGGGCGGUCGACCGGAAUCCCUCCUUUUUCUGUGGACCGAGUGAGGAAGCCUUCCUCUUUGAAGGUGAUCCCGGAAGAGAAGGCGCAGGUUAAGGUGUUGGUCGAACGUGUUGUCCAGCUUAUCCGUGACGGGGGGACCGGCAUGGAUCUCUUGGAGGUCUUCCUCCGACGACGCAUCCAGCCGCUUCAAUAUCGAGAUCAUCCGAUGUGGAUGUAUUCUGGCACUGAAGACACCACUCGGAUCCACCCGGAGGAGGUCGAGGAUGCCACGCUGGAGAGGUGGCUGGCUGCCAUCACAGGGAACAAGGACAACCCCCGAGGGGCCAGGAGGAUUCCUCCACUCGACCAAUCAUACGAAGUAGACAAGGCCACUACUGAGAUGUACUCGAUGCCCAACAGGGCGCAAGAACAGGUCGAGGAGGAGGAGGCGAGCGGAGGUGAAAGUCAGGAGGAGUGGCAAUCUGAUGGUGAGGGGGAUGAAGAUGACGAUGGCUCCAGUGAAGAGGAGGAGGAGGAAGUCGAUCCUCCUCGGACGGAAAGGCGAUCCAAGCUCACCCACGACCCCGCAGUCGAGCGUGGCAAAGCGACUGUGCCUGUUGGGCAGUCGUCGAAGCGCCCUCGGACGACCUCUCCAGCGUCGACUGAAAAAGCGCCAAAGCAUCCCUGA